This 513-nucleotide ribosomal RNA is filed under the name uncultured bacterium. RNAcentral's name for it is "partial 16S ribosomal RNA". It matches the Rfam family "Bacterial small subunit ribosomal RNA", at positions 28 to 523 of the family's 1533-position model. The record is from RNAcentral.
GACGAACGCUGGCGGCAUGCCUAAUACAUGCAAGUCGAGCGAACAGAUGAAGUGCUUGCACUUCUGACGUUAGCGGCGAACGGGUGAGUAACACGUAAGGAAUCUACCUAUAAGCGGGGGAUAACAUUUGGAAACGGGUGCUAAUACCGCAUAAUAUCUUCUUCCGCAUGGAAGAAGAUUGAAAGACGGCUCUGCUGUCACUUAUAGAUGACCUUGCGGUGCAUUAGUUAGUUGGUGGGGUAACGGCCUACCAAGACGAUGAGGCAUAGCCGACCUGAGAGGGUGAUCGGCCACAUUGGGACUGAGACACGGCCCAAACUCCUACGGGAGGCAGCAGUAGGGAAUCUUCCGCAAUGGGCGAAAGCCUGACGGAGCAAUGCCGCGUGAGUGAAGAAGGCCUUCGGGUCGUAAAACUCUGUUAUAAGAGAAGAACAAAUUGUAGAGUAACUGCUACAGACUUGACGGUAUCUUAUCAGAAAGCCACGGCUAACUACGUGCCAGCAGCCGCUGUAA